AGGACGAACGCUGGCGGCGUGCUUAACACAUGCAAGUCGAACGGAAAGGCCCGCUUGCGGGUACUCGAGUGGCGAACGGGUGAGUAACACGUGGGCAACCUGCCCUCAGCUCUGGGAUAACUCCGGGAAACCGGUGCUAAUACUGGAUAUCGACUUCUGCCUCGCAUGGGGUGUUGUUGAAAGUUUUCGGCUGGGGAUGGGCCCGCGGCCUAUCAGCUUGUUGGUGGGGUGAUGGCCUACCAAGGCGACGACGGGUA
This 257-nucleotide ribosomal RNA is filed under the name uncultured bacterium. RNAcentral's name for it is "partial small subunit ribosomal RNA". It matches the Rfam family "Bacterial small subunit ribosomal RNA", at positions 26 to 285 of the family's 1533-position model. The record is from RNAcentral.